AAGUAUUUCAGCAGAUGACAGACCGAUGUGCAGAGAACAGAAAUGUACAACAACAGGACACAGGAAGUUGCCAGCAAGCAAGAUUAAGGAUAAUCCGAAACACUACUGCAGGCGUGAAAUUUGCUGCCCAGAUACCAGGUUUCAGUGUCC
Dreissena polymorpha is the source of this 150-nucleotide long non-coding RNA. RefSeq lists it as uncharacterized. The transcript is spliced from 3 exons. Lineage: Eukaryota; Metazoa; Mollusca; Bivalvia; Myida; Dreissenidae. The record is from RefSeq and is a predicted model, not a curated record.